CCUGUUAAAGAUUGCACGUCUCACUUGAACUUACCAUCGUUGAUUUUGUGAGUUUCCUCAUCGGUCGGAUCAAUCCACCAGAUAGAUGGUGAUGGUCUGGUGAGACAAGAAGUACACGUUAUUUCUCCGGAAGGAUCCGAGGAUACAAUAUCGUCAGCUUAUAUCUGUGAUGUAGUUACAAAUCAACACGUUCGUGAGGCUAGGUGGUCAUUCACUGAUUCUCUCUUCGUCUUAUCUCUGUCUUGCAGUUAUACAUAUAUGUGAAUUUUAAAUUACACGAAAGUACAGUAUAUACAUGUUAUUUGCAAAAGUAUAGCAUUUGAAGCCUGAUAUGAUAUUAAAAGGCUACUCACUUCGUUGUCGUAAUCCCACGGCACGAAGGAGUAUUGCAACGACGGCAUGAAGACGUUCGCCUGCAGCCACCUGAUGAACAGC
Molecule: long non-coding RNA, 435 nt
Organism: Dinoponera quadriceps
Lineage: Eukaryota; Metazoa; Arthropoda; Insecta; Hymenoptera; Formicidae
Exons: 4
Source: RefSeq, a predicted model, not a curated record